UACAGGGGGUGCAAGCGUUGCUCGGAAUACUGGGCGUAAAGCGAGCGCAGGCGGCCGAUUAAGUCAGAGGUGAAAGCCCGGGGCUCAACCCCGGAAAUGCCUUUGAAACUGGUAGGCUUGAAUGCAGGAGAGGGUCGCGGAAUUCGUUGGUGUAGAGGUGAAAUUCGUAGAGUAUACUCAGGAAGAACACCAGUGGCGGAAAGCGGC
Molecule: ribosomal RNA, 207 nt
Filed under: uncultured bacterium
Lineage: Bacteria
Description: partial 16S ribosomal RNA
Rfam family: Bacterial small subunit ribosomal RNA
Source: RNAcentral